GUGGUUGUGGCUCAGUGGUAGAGUGCUUGCCUAGCGUGGGUGAGGCACUGAGUUCAAUUUUCAGCACCACG
Molecule: transfer RNA, 71 nt
Filed under: Marmota monax (woodchuck)
Lineage: Eukaryota; Metazoa; Chordata; Mammalia; Rodentia; Sciuridae
Description: tRNA.Ala
Source: RNAcentral